This is a long non-coding RNA of Oncorhynchus nerka (sockeye salmon), 873 nucleotides long. RefSeq lists it as uncharacterized. The transcript has 2 exons. The record is from RefSeq and is a predicted model, not a curated record. Lineage: Eukaryota; Metazoa; Chordata; Actinopteri; Salmoniformes; Salmonidae.
GGGUUAAUCCGAGGGCCUUCAGAAGGGGCGCCAGUGGCCUAACCUUGAUCUAGGUGAUCUCUGGUUCUCCGGUUUUGAAAAACGUAUGCCUCACUCCUCCCCAAGAGCUGCUUUUUAAAUCCAUACAGACUGUAAACCUUUUCGCCUAUAUGAACUAAAGACACUUUAAAUAUAGAAGACUACUUUCAUUCAGGGAGAGGCCCCGCGCUGAAGCAAUCUCCGGGCCCUGCACAAAGGAUAGAAAUGUCUGUGAAUUUGACUUGUAAAUGGAUAAAUAACUAGAUUAUUUUAUGUCCUGAAUUUUACAUGUUCUGUUUUGAAGAUGUUUUUUUUAGAAAAUAAUAACGCCAUUUCUCUGGGUUCUUUAAUCAGACUUCUGUGACUAGAUAGCUCACACAACAACAAAGAUAUUGGAUUCCACUUCUGCUAGAAGUAGGUGUUAUUCAGACAAAUUGAGGUUCCAGAAAGAGAAUUAAUUAGAUAAUUAUAAUAUUCAAAAUCCAUUUGAGGGACAUCAACAAAUCAAAACCACUUCCAAAGCUUUUCCUUUAUUGGUGUUUGUGUUUGUGUCUGUUUAGCAGAUCAAUGCUACAUACCUAUCUGACUGGUCUGUUUGGGGUGUGUUGAUUGCACUACGCUGUCUGUCUGCCACUGGUUAUACUGAUGACAUAUUCCCUACACACACACACACACACACUGAGACGGUAUAGAAUGUAUCAUGUAGAACAGAUAAGAUUGUCUGUUCUAUUCAUUAUAUUUCUAUAUGCAACAUCCUGAACCUAGCUGAAUACACACCGGCACAAGGACUAUCUCCAUUCCAGAAACUGCCUUGUCACCUGUAAAAAAAUGAAUAAAUACAUCUUUACAAACAUU